This 468-nucleotide ribosomal RNA is filed under the name uncultured bacterium. RNAcentral describes it as "partial 16S ribosomal RNA". It matches the Rfam family "Bacterial small subunit ribosomal RNA", at positions 28 to 507 of the family's 1533-position model. The record is from RNAcentral.
GACGAACGCUGGCGGCGGGCUUAACACAUGCAAGUCGAACGGAAAGGCCCUGGUUUUGUUGGUUGCUCGAGUGGCGAACGGGUGAGUAACACGUGAGUAACCUGCCCUUGACUUUGGGAUAACUUCAGGAAACUGGGGCUAAUACCGGAUAGGAGCUCCUGCUGCAUGGUGGGCGUUGGAAAGUUUCGGCGGUUGGGGAUGGACUCGCGGCUUAUCAGCUUGUUGGUGGGGUAGUGGCUUACCAAGGCUUUGACGGGUAGCCGGCCUGAGAGGGUGACCGGCCACAUUGGGACUGAGAUACGGCCCAGACUCCUACGGGAGGCAGCAGUGGGGAAUAUUGCACAAUGGGCGGAAGCCUGAUGCAGCAACGCCGCGUGCGGGAUGACGGCCUUCGGGUUGUAAACCGCUUUCGCCUGUGACGAAGCGUGAGUGACGGUAAUGGGUAAAGAAGCACCGGCUAACUACGUG